Molecule: ribosomal RNA, 253 nt
Filed under: uncultured bacterium
Lineage: Bacteria
Description: partial 16S ribosomal RNA
Rfam family: Bacterial small subunit ribosomal RNA
Source: RNAcentral
UACAGAGGGGGCAAGCGUUGUUCGGAAUUACUGGGCGUAAAGGGCGCGUAGGCGGCCUGUUAAGUCGAACGUGAAAUCCCCGGGCUCAACCCGGGAACUGCGUCCGAUACUGGCAGGCUUGAAUCCGGGAGAGGGAUGCGGAAUUCCAGGUGUAGCGGUGAAAUGCGUAGAUAUCUGGAGGAAUACCGGUGGCGAAGGCGGCAUCCUGGACCAUUACUGACGCUGAGGCGCGAAAGCUAGGGGAGCAAACGGG